RNAcentral lists this long non-coding RNA (425 nucleotides) under Rhinopithecus bieti (black snub-nosed monkey). RNAcentral's name for it is "lncRNA (ENSRBIG00000045948.1)". The record is from RNAcentral. Lineage: Eukaryota; Metazoa; Chordata; Mammalia; Primates; Cercopithecidae.
AUAAUGGAUAAUAUUGAUUGAUUUAUACUUUCUUGGCCACAUAUAGAGCAAAGGCAUCAUGUGAGGAAGCUGUUACUGUCUUGAAUUUCUGCCUCCUGUAUUCCUCAAAGCAAAUGAGCAGUGAAGUAGACAAGAGACCAUAAUUCCCAUAGUCAAGAAUAUUCACAUAAAGGGCCCCACAACGUGGAAGAAACUGCUGUAUUGCAUUUUGAACGCAUGGUAUUGAUUGCCAGAGAAUCAGUUAAAUUGCAGUAUGGAUAAUGAUUGGCACUGGCCUUAACCCUUUUGGCUAAAAUUGCUUGUUUGUCAUCCUGGCUCAUGGAAGAGAUAAACAAUUGCUUGCUGAUGAUCUAACGGAUCAACUGCGAGUAUCAUUUGGCAUGUCAGAUGAGAGCUGAUUUAAUGAGCUGCAGUUCCUGCCAAUU